This 938-nucleotide ribosomal RNA is filed under the name Russula griseoviridis. RNAcentral describes it as "partial large subunit ribosomal RNA". The record is from RNAcentral. Lineage: Eukaryota; Fungi; Basidiomycota; Agaricomycetes; Russulales; Russulaceae.
AUAUCAAUAAGCGGAGGAAAAGAAACUAACAAGGAUUCCCCUAGUAACUGCGAGUGAAGCGGGAAAAGCUCAAAUUUAAAAUCUGGUGGCCUUUUGGCCAUCCGAGUUGUAAUUUAGAGAAGUGUCUUCCGCGCUGGACCGUGCACAAGUCUCCUGGAAUGGAGCGUCAUAGAGGGUGAGAAUCCCGUCUUUGGCACGGACUCCCGGUGUUUCUGUGAUGCGCUCUCGACGAGUCGAGUUGUUUGGGAAUGCAGCUCAAAAUGGGUGGUGAACUCCAUCUAAAGCUAAAUAUUGGCGAGAGACCGAUAGCGAACAAGUACCGUGAGGGAAAGAUGAAAAGCACUUUGGAAAGAGAGUGAAACAGUACGUGAAAUUGUUGAAAGGGAAACGCUUGAAGUCAGUCGCGUCGACCGAGACUCAGCCUUGCCUCGGCUUGGUGUACUUCUCGGCUGACGGGUCAGCAUCAAUUUYGAUCCUCGGAUAAUGGCAAGGGAAAGGUAGCACCUUUUUAGGUGUGUUAUAGUCCUCUGUCGCAUGCGAGGGUUGGGAUUGAGGAACUCAGCAUGCACCUCCAGGUGUCGGGGCCUUGGCCCACGUUACGUGCUUAGGAUGCUGGCGUAAUGGCUUUAAACGACCCGUCUUGAAACACGGACCAAGGAGUCUAACAUACCCGCGAGUGUUCGGGUGGAAAACCCGUGCGCGUAAUGAAAGUAAAAGUUGGGACCUCUGUCGUGGAGGGCACCGACGCCCGGACCAGACCUUCUGUGACGGCUCUGCGGUAGAGCGUGUAUGUUGGGACCCGAAAGAUGGUGAACUAUGCCUGAAUAGGGUGAAGCCAGAGGAAACUCUGGUGGAGGCUCGUAGCGAUUCUGACGUGCAAAUCGAUCGUCAAAUUUGGGUAUAGGGGCGAAAGACUAAUCGAACCAUCUAGUAGCUGG